GACGAACGCUGGCGGCGUGCUUAACACAUGCAAGUCGAACGAAGAGCGACGGAAGCUUGCUUCUAUCAAUCUUAGUGGCGAACGGGUGAGUAACGCGUAAUCAACCUGCCCUUCAGAGGGGGACAACAGUUGGAAACGACUGCUAAUACCGCAUACGAUCUAAUCUCGGCAUCGAGGAUGGAUGAAAGGUGGCCUCUACAUGUAAGCUAUCACUGAAGGAGGGGAUUGCGUCUGAUUAGCUAGUUGGAGGGGUAACGGCCCACCAAGGCGAUGAUCAGUAGCCGGUCUGAGGUGAUGAACGGCCACAUUGGGACUGAGACACGGCCCAGACUCCUACGGGAGGCAGCAGUGGGGAAUCUUCCGCAAUGGACGAAAGUCUGACGGAGCAACGCCGCGUGAGUGAUGACGGCCUUCGGGUUGUAAAGCUCUGUUAAUCGGGACGAAAGGCCUUCUUGCGAAUAGUGAGAAGGAUUGACGGUACCGGAAUAGAAAGCCACGGCUAACUACGUG
Molecule: ribosomal RNA, 510 nt
Filed under: uncultured bacterium
Lineage: Bacteria
Description: partial 16S ribosomal RNA
Rfam family: Bacterial small subunit ribosomal RNA
Source: RNAcentral